Molecule: ribosomal RNA, 460 nt
Filed under: uncultured bacterium
Lineage: Bacteria
Description: partial 16S ribosomal RNA
Rfam family: Bacterial small subunit ribosomal RNA
Source: RNAcentral
CCUACGGGAGGCAGCAGUGAGGAAUAUUGGUCAAUGGACGAGAGUCUGAACCAGCCAAGUAGCGUGAAGGAUGACUGCCCUAUGGGUUGUAAACUUCUUUUAUAUGGGAAUAAAAUGUUCCACGUGUGGGAUUUUGUAUGUACCAUAUGAAUAAGGAUCGGCUAACUCCGUGCCAGCAGCCGCGGUAAUACGGAGGAUCCGAGCGUUAGCCGGAUUUAUUGGGUUUAAAGGGAGCGUAGGUGGAUUGUUAAGUCAGUUGUGAAAGUUUGCGGCUCAACCGUAAAAUUGCAGUUGAAACUGGCAGUCUUGAGUACAGUAGAGGUGGGCGGAAUUCGUGGUGUAGUGGUGAAAUGCUUAGAUAUCACGAAGAACUCCGAUUGCGAAGGCAGUUCACUGGACUGCAACUGACACUGAGGCUCGAAAGUGUGGGUAUCAAACAGGAUUAGAUACCCUUGUAGUC